This 250-nucleotide ribosomal RNA is filed under the name uncultured bacterium. RNAcentral's name for it is "partial 16S ribosomal RNA". It matches the Rfam family "Bacterial small subunit ribosomal RNA", at positions 779 to 1032 of the family's 1533-position model. The record is from RNAcentral.
UAGAUACCCUGGUAGUCCACGCCGUAAACGAUGAUCACUCGCUGUUAUGCUGUUAUGGUGUAGCGGCUUAGCGAAAGCGUUAAGUGAUCCACCUGGGGAGUACGCCGGCAACGGUGAAACUCAAAGGAAUUGACGGGGGUCCGCACAAACGGUGGAGCAUGUGGUUUAAUUCGAUGAUACGCGAGGAACCUUACCUGGGCUAGAAUGUGAAGGAAUGAUAUAGAGAUGUAUCAGUCGGCAACGACCUGAA